GACGAACGCUGGCGGCGUGCCUAAUACAUGCAAGUAGAACGCUGAAGGAGGAGCUUGCUUCUCCGGAUGAGUUGCGAACGGGUGAGUAACGCGUAGGUAACCUGCCUGGUAGCGGGGGAUAACUAUUGGAAACGAUAGCUAAUACCGCAUAACAGUAGAUGUUGCAUGACAUUUGCUUAAAAGGUGCAAUUGCAUCACUACCAGAUGGACCUGCGUUGUAUUAGCUAGUUGGUGAGGUAACGGCUCACCAAGGCGACGAUACAUAGCCGACCUGAGAGGGUGAUCGGCCACACUGGGACUGAGACACGGCCCAGACUCCUACGGGAGGUAGCAGUAGGGAAUCUUCGGCAAUGGACGGAAGUCUGACCGAGCAACGCCGCGUGAGUGAAGAAGGUUUUCGGAUCGUAAAGCUCUGUUGUAAGAGAAGAACGAGUGUGAGAGUGGAAAGUUCACACUGUGACGGUAUCUUACCAGAAAGGGACGGCUAACUACGUG
This 495-nucleotide ribosomal RNA is filed under the name uncultured bacterium. Its description in RNAcentral is "partial 16S ribosomal RNA". It matches the Rfam family "Bacterial small subunit ribosomal RNA", at positions 28 to 507 of the family's 1533-position model. The record is from RNAcentral.